RNAcentral lists this ribosomal RNA (449 nucleotides) under uncultured bacterium. Its description in RNAcentral is "partial 16S ribosomal RNA". It matches the Rfam family "Bacterial small subunit ribosomal RNA", at positions 29 to 523 of the family's 1533-position model. The record is from RNAcentral.
AACGAACGCUGGCGGCAGGCUUAACACAUGCAAGUCGAACGAGAUCUUCGGAUCUAGUGGCAGACGGGUGAGGAACACGUGGGAACAUCCCUUUCAGUUCGGAAUAACGUUGGGAAACUAACGCUAAUACCGGAUACGUCUUUCGGGAGAAAGAUUUAUCGCUGAAAGAUUGGCCCGCGUCUGAUUAGCUAGUUGGUGAGGUAACGGCUCACCAAAGCUACGAUCAGUAGCUGAUCUGAGAGGAUGAUCAGCCAAAUUGGGACUGAGACACGGCCCAAACUCCUACGGGAGGCAGCAGUGGGGAAUAUUGGACAAUGGGCGCAAGCCUGAUCCAGCCAUGCCGCGUGAGUGAUGACGGCCUUCGGGUUGUAAAGCUCUUUUGUCCGGGAAGAUAAUGACUGUACCGGAAGAAUAAGCCCCGGCAAACUUCGUGCCAGCCGCCGCAGUAA